GUUGCUCCAUGAAACUUGGCCCACCGAGUCCAGCCCAAACUGGCGCCUACGGCAGCGUCACUCGGUCGCACCGAACCAAACACGACCAACCCAGAUUGGGCGGGCGAUUACUACCCCGAUUCCCAACCUAGCGGCGGCGGCGGCGCUUCCACGUGCGGUGGCCGCCGUCUCCCUCGGUCCACCUCCCAUCCGGCCAGCCCUCUCCUCACUCCCUCCCCCCGGCCUCCGGCCUUCGCCGCCCUCCCUGCCGCCAAGGCCAGGGGCAAGUCCGCCUCUGCCCUCCGGUCUCCCUGGCUCGGCUCGCCCUGUAGGGCUGUAGGCGCCCACCACGGCACGUCUCGACCUCCGGCAGUCCAGCCUCCGUGGCUCCGUCGAAGGUAUUUCCCCCUCUGUUUUUAAACAUAUCUGAAGAAUAUUUUUGUGAAUGGCAUUGCCUGUGAUUGCUAGAAAGUAGAAGACAGUCACUGAUUGCUUGUAAACCAGUGAAAUUGAACUGCUUAUUAUGUGAUUCAUUUGCUACUUAUGUGAUUCACUGAUUGCUAGAUGGACAUAAUGAACCCGGUGACCACUACUUCUCUUUAUUAUUUUCACUAUUGUAAUUUCCUUUGCUGUUUGUAAUCUUUCUUAAUUGUUAGAUAUAUUGGCACAAUGAUAUUUUGCUACUAUUAUUGAUGUAUGGUCAUUGAUAUUGCCAUUUUACAGUACAUUGUUGCUUUGUUAUAUUGCUUUGGCCAAUUUUUUUUUACAAGAAUACCCAGGAGCAAAUUCCUGGCUCCGCCACUGCCUUGACUGCAGAACCUAACGAAAGGGGUGCCUCCCCAGGAGGAUCUCGUGGAUGCUGGUGGGAUGGGCGGUUGAGGUUGAGGGAGGCUCGUGGGCUGGAGCAGCAGGACGAGAAGCUCGAGGUGGUUCCGGCCUUCCGGGUUUGCCUCCAUACCCCCUCUAUCUCCCUCUGCCCUCACUCAUGUUUCCUCCCUUUCUCAUGGAUGAAGCUGUCGGCUGCAGGGGCGUUGCAAGGAGUGAAGGUAGGGGUCACGUCGACCGGAGCAGCAGGAGCAAGGAUCUGACAGCCUCUGCCUCCCCGUUGCACGCCACCACUGCAUCUCCUUCCUGUUGAGCUAUAGGUUGGCUUGAUCUCUUGUGUCAGGGAGGUGCGAGGUUGGGUAUGUUGGCAAUGGCAGCCACGGUUUCAGCGAAGGGCGCCCAUGCCAUGUGCAAUGACAGCAGCAUUGUCACUGGGAUAUGCCAUUAGCAUGACACAGGUGCCUUAGUGUGUGUUCUGCUCUAGGUUGUGCAGGACAAGUGGUUGAUCCAUAGCUUCUUUGUGUAAGGAAAAUUUUGCAGACUAACUUUCUAACCAUGUAAUAGUUUUGUAUAAAGUAUUGCUAAUUUACAUAACUUCUAUUCAAGUCCUAUCUAGAUUGAAAUCUUAAUCUUGCAUUUUGUUUCUGACGUAAUCUAUGUGGCUGCUCCAUCGACGAUGACGAAAUCAUCCACUAGGUACCUUCAAAACAUCUUACUUCAUACACCUCCUCGGUUCAGUUAAUUUGCAAUCAGUUUGAAGUCACAACUACAAGUUUCUAAAAAUCGUUGGAAUAAUGGUGCUUUCCUAGGAAAGGAGGCAUGUUGUGGUGAAGCACGAUACACACUCAG
This 1653-nucleotide long non-coding RNA is filed under the name Triticum aestivum (bread wheat). RNAcentral describes it as "long non-coding RNA (TAES_LNC004578)". The record is from RNAcentral. Lineage: Eukaryota; Viridiplantae; Streptophyta; Magnoliopsida; Poales; Poaceae.